GCGCUCACUUCAGCAGCACAUACACUAAAACUGGAACAAUGCAGAGAAGAUUAGCAUGACCCCUUUGCAAGGAUGACGUGCAAACUGACGAAUUGUUUCAUAUUUUC
Molecule: small nuclear RNA, 107 nt
Organism: Psammomys obesus (fat sand rat)
Lineage: Eukaryota; Metazoa; Chordata; Mammalia; Rodentia; Muridae
Source: RefSeq, a predicted model, not a curated record